GACGAACGCUGGCGGCGUGCUUAACACAUGCAAGUCGAACGGAAAGGCCCUGCUUUUGUGGGGUGCUCGAGUGGCGAACGGGUGAGUAACACGUGAGUAACCUGCCCUUGACUUUGGGAUAACUUCAGGAAACUGGGGCUAAUACCGGAUAGGAGCUCCUGCUGCAUGGUGGGGGUUGGAAAGUUUCGGCGGUGGGGGAUGGUCUGGCGGCUUAUAAGCUGGUUGGUGGGGUAGUGGCUUACAAAGGCUUUGACGGGUAGCCGGCCUGGGAGGGUGACCGGCCACAUUGGGACUGAGAUACGGCCCAGACUCCUACGGGAGGCAGCAGUGGGGAAUAUUGCACAAUGGGCGGAAGCCUGAUGCAGCAACGCCGCGUGCGGGAUGACGGCCUUCGGGUUGUAAACCGCUUUCGCCUGUGACGAAGCGUGAGUGACGGUAAUGGGUAAAGAAGCACCGGCUAACUACGUG
RNAcentral lists this ribosomal RNA (468 nucleotides) under uncultured bacterium. RNAcentral describes it as "partial 16S ribosomal RNA". It matches the Rfam family "Bacterial small subunit ribosomal RNA", at positions 28 to 507 of the family's 1533-position model. The record is from RNAcentral.